Molecule: ribosomal RNA, 1291 nt
Filed under: metagenome
Description: SSU rRNA
Rfam family: Eukaryotic small subunit ribosomal RNA
Source: RNAcentral
GUAAUCAUAUGCUUGUCUCAAAGAUUAAGCCAUGCAUGUCUAAGUUUAAGUAUUUAUUUCGAAACUGCGAACAGCUCAUUAGAACAGUUAAUACAGAAGGAAUGUGAAGAGGAGGAUAACUUUGGUAAUUCUAUAGCUAAUACUAAUUUAGAAAGCGUAUAUAGAAUAUGCUCGUAUAGAAAUAAUUCAUCCCCAUCUGGGAGUCUUUGAUUAAUUUCUUAUUCGUUAUCCUUAUUUGGAAAUUUUCUUUGGUUUCUGACCUAUCAGCUCUUGAUGGUAUGUUAAAAGCUUACCGUGGCAUUGACGGGUAACGGGGAAUUGGGGUUUGAUUCCGGAGAGGAAGCUUGAGAAUCGGCUACCACAUCUAAGGAAGGCAGCAGGCGCGCAAAUUAUCCAAUCCUUAAACAGGGAGAUAGUGACAAGAAAUAACAAUGCGUAAUUUUAUUUCGUAAUUGGAAUGAUUUUGGUUUAAAACCCCAAUUGAGUAACCAUUGGAGGGCCAGUCUGGUGCCAGCAGCCGCGGUAAUUCCAGCUCCAAUAGUGUAUAUUAAAGUUGCUGCGGUUAAAAAGCUCGUAGUUGAACAUUGUUGAUGUACUUAUUAAUCAUUGCGAUAAAUAACUUAUAUCAUUCACAAUUGUCUUGGCUGGGCGAAAUCAUUUGCCCAACCUUCAAUUAUCUUACUUUGAGGAAAUUAGAGUGUUUAAAACAUCAAUUACGUUGAGAUAUAUUUUAGCAUAGAAUAAAUUAAUUGCUCUACUAUUUGCUGUGAUGAAGGCGUACAGUAGCGAAUCAGAAAAGAAAUUAUUGGAGGUAUUUGUAUUCGACAGCUAGAGGUGAAAUUCUUUAAUUUGUCGAGGACAGACAAUGGCGAAAGCAUAUACCUAAUUAACUUUCAUUGAUCAAGAACGAAGGUUAGGAUAUCGAAGACGAUUAGAUACUGUCCUAGUCUUAACUUUAAACUAUGCCAUCUAGACUUUGGUCUUCAUGACUUCGUGAUAUUACCAGUGUCUUUAGAGAAAUUAAAAGUUUUUGGGUUCCGGGGGGAGUAUGAUCGCAAGAUUGAAACUUAAAGGUAUUGACGGAAGGGCACCACCAGGAGUGGAGCUUGCGGCUUAAUUUGACCCAACACGGGAAAGCUUACCAGGGCCAGACAUAAUAAGGAUUGACAGAAAAAUAGUUUUUUCUUGAUUAUAUGGGUGGUGGUGCAUGGCCGUUCUUAGUUGGUGAAUUGGUUUGUCUGGUUAAUUCCGUUAACGAACGAGAUUAUAACUUGCUCAAUAGACUUUAAUC